Molecule: long non-coding RNA, 949 nt
Filed under: Ceratitis capitata (Mediterranean fruit fly)
Lineage: Eukaryota; Metazoa; Arthropoda; Insecta; Diptera; Tephritidae
Description: uncharacterized LOC110117749, transcript variant X2
Source: RNAcentral
UUGGAAAAAAGGUGUUGCAGGAAUUUCAUUAAUAUUUUAUUACUUUCAGUUAUUUUGGGUCGCUUGUGAAUAAUAAAUGCGCAGAGGUCGUGUAGUGUAGGUGUUGUAAGACAAAUACGUGAAAAAAUGGCAUAAGAUGGGCUGGACCGGCACAACCCUUUGAGUAUGUGUUAAGUAUCUCGGCAUCGUUGAUGGCUUGCCCGCUCGCUCGCCUGCUCGCCUGUCUACUUUACAACAAGAUUUAUCAUAUUUUUACGACUUAAUGCUAUUUGAAGGAUUAUUAAAUUAUGCAUGACGAUGUCGGGGUCAAUGUUUGUUACGAACCCCAGCUGCCGGACUUACAUGAAUGGGUUAGAAGUGACAGCGGCAAGAGUGCUUGAGCUACACAAGAGGGGGUUUUAUGAAAUAAAAGAAUUAUGCGAGGCUAUCAUGAGAGAAAAUUUAGGAACAAGCUCGUUUGACAUAAAGUUGAAUUGCUGCUGAACUGAGAAAUAUUCAAACCACACUGCAGCAUAACUUCCAAGCUUAAUGUGCACAGAAUCAAAACCCUUUUGCCUCCCCAACUCAUUUGGAAUGCCAAGCUUGGGUUUACUUACGUGGCAGCAGCUUACGAUUUAUCACCAAACCAAACAGCAAAUGGCAUAACAGUGUAGUGUUGCAAAACGGGCUGGCACACUUUUGAGCAAUUUGUCAAAAUGUGAAAAAACCUUGGAGUUGGUUAACAGCCAAAUGUGAGUCACGUCUUUGUCGUAUUGUGCACGGAAGAGGAAAGGAAAUUGCAGUGAAUGAAUGGCAAAUGAAAGAAAAAAUCAGGAGAAACGAAAAGGGAGCGAGAGGAAGGGAAACUGCAGUUAAUAAAUUGUGAGUAACAAGAGCAAAAUUGAGGGAACGAAAAGAGAGCGAGAGGAAGAAAAAAACAUGGAAGGAGAAGAAAGAGUGCGCCAAAAAG